AUCCAAUGUCACUGCAUACUCGAGCUUAUUAUUACAUGGAACAUUAUUAUUCAAAUAUCACAAUGUCAGUGACAUCUAAACACCCUGAUUUACGACCAUUUAUGCUUGUUUCAGAACAAUACCAUCACUCGAUGUGAUUUACACACAAAUUGACAGCUUAGCUGCCACGGUAAGUGGUAAAGGAAAAAAGGUAGAAUGUAAAAAGAGGCACAUGGAAAUGCUCGGUCGCCUGGCUUCUUUUUUAUCUCAAAUAUGAUGCUCACGUAAGGGAAGAACCCUGACGGUGCAUACUUGGAGGUAUUGAAACUUAUGCGGUAGAAACCAGGAGUGACAUUGUCAACGAUGUCCAUCAGCUGACCGCUGCGUCCAUCAUUGUUUGUAAUCGAAGAGCCUAGGGUUGUCCAUCCCUUGAAUCUUUGUUGUCAAAUGACGGGGUACUUGACGCGUCCUUCCACAUCUCCAGGUGAACUUCAANNNNNNNNNNNNNNNNNNNNNNNNNNNNNNNNNNNNNNNNNNNNNNNNNNNNNNNNNNNNNNNNNNNNNNNNNNNNNNNNNNNNNNNNNNNNNNNNNNNNAGACGUAGCAUGUUGAUCGUGUCAUUUUUGUUGCUACUGUUUUCUACGUGUCAAGUAUUUGUUCCUAUGACCAUGAGAUCAUAUAACUCACUAACACCGGAGGAAUACUUUGUGUGUAACAAACGUCACAACGUAACUGGGUGACUAUAAAAGAUGCUCUACAGGUAUCUCCAAAGGUGUUCGUUGAGUUAGUAUGGAUCGAGACUGGGAUUUGUCACUCUGUGUGACGGAGAGGUAUCUCGGGGCCCACUCGGUAAUACAACAUCACACACAAGCCUUGCAAGCAAUGUGACUUAGUGUAAGUUGCGGGGAUCUUGUGUUACGGAACGAGUAAAGAGACUUGCCGGUAAACGAGAUUGAAAUAGGUAUACGGAUACUGACGAUCGAAUCUCGGGCAAGUAACAUAGCGAAGGACAAAGGGAAUGACAUACGGGAUUAUAUGAAUCAUUGGCACUGAGGUUCAAACGAUAAGAUCUUCGUAGAAUAUGUAGGAUCCAAUAUGGGCAUCCAGGUCCCGCUAUUGGAUAUUGACCGAGGAGUCUCUCGGGUCAUGUCUACAUAGUUCUCGAACCCGCAGGGUCUGCACACUUAAGGUUCGACGUUGUUUUAUGCGUAUUUGAGUUAUAUGGUUGGUUACCGAAUGUUGUUCGGAGUCUCGGAUGAGAUCACAGACGUCACGAGGGUUUCCGGAAUGGUCCGGAAACGAGGAUUGAUAUAUAGGAUGACCUCAUUUGAUUACCGGAAGGUUUUACGGAGUUACCGGGAAUGUAGUGGGNNNNNNNNNNNNNNNNNNNNNNNNNNNNNNNNNNNNNNNNNNNNNNNNNNNNNNNNNNNNNNNNNNNNNNNNNNNNNNNNNNNNNNNNNNNNNNNNNNNNGCCCGAGUGCCAUGAUUUCAGAUCUGAAAUUAUUAUGUUGUCACCAAUAUAUGUGUGUUUUAGAUCCGAUCUUGCAAGUUGUAGUUACCUACAAUGUGUUAUGAUCCAGCAACCCCGGAGUGACAAUAACCGGAACCACUCCCGGUGAUGAUCAUAGUUUGAGGAGUUCAUGUGUUCACCAAGUGCUAAUGCGUUGGUCCGGUUCUUUAUUAAAAGGAGAACCUUAAUAUCCCGUAGUUUCCUUUUGGACCCCGCUGCCACGGGAGGGAUGGACAAUAGAUGUCAUGCAAGUUCUUUUCCCUAAACACGUAUGACGACACACGGAAUGCAUGCCUACAUCACAUUGACGAACGGGAGCUAGCCACAUAUCUCUCCGUGUUAUAACUGUUGCAUGAUGAAUAUCAUCCAAACAAAUCACCGACCCAUUGCCUACGAGUUCGUCCUACUACUUUUGUUACUUGUCUUGCUCUGCUGUUGUUACUACUAUUGCUAUUGUUGUUACUUGUCUUGCUCUGCUGCUACUGUCGCUUGCUACUGUUGCUACUUGCUACUGCUGUCACUACUGUUGUUCCUUGCCACUGCUAUUACUCGUUACAUUGUUGCUACCUGCUACAAUUUUGAUACGCUGGUCAUUGACGGGAACAGACAAUUUUCGUCAACGGGCAACUUCUGGCGCCAUUGAUACGACAAUUAGGCAUAGUCUGCCGUCAACAGAUCGUUUCUGACACCGUUGUUAUCAUACUACUUUGCUACUGAUACCUUGCUUGCAGAUACUAAUCUUUCAGGUGUGGUUGAAUCUGACACAUUCAGCUGCUAAUACUCGAGAGUAUUCUCUCACCUCCUGUUUGGCGAUCAACAAAUUUGGGUCGAAUACUCUACCCUCGAAAACUGCUACGAUUCCAAGCGCUGGUGGGCCAUCAACAACAUUCUUCUAGUUUCGAUUGCCGAAGAGUGCUAGCAGCAUUCUUCUGGUGCCGUUGAAGGGGAAGGUCUGCUGUCAUGAAGUCACUAUGUCGGUGUAGAGGAGUCCUUGUCUUGAUCACCAAGUCUUGUAAAAUCUUCCUUGUAUGUGUCAUUGGCUACCCGAAGUGUCCCAGGAGUCCGACCUGUAGAGAUAGGUCGGCGACCCGAGGACCCCUUAGUCCCAUACUCUCUUAACGGGGGUAUGUGAAGAGGGCGUUGGUGCAGCCGAAGUAGAAGGAGGUGCAACAGCUUCGCCACCACCUCCGCCUGAUAGGGAAGAUGGGAAGGCUGGUGUUCGGUGGUAGGGCGAGGCGGAGAGAACGAGGGCAUCCUCAAGCUUCAACAUCGUCUACACUGGACACAAACCACCAAUAACACGAGAAGAAGAACUAGCUUCCUCCCUUUAUCACUAUGUUACCGAGACAAACCCCGCCGGAGGAUCAGCAUCCCAAAUCUAGGAAAUGGUCAACAACUUUCGGAUAUCUAUAACAGGCCUCCUAUGUAUGCGCCACCUAGACGAACCAUCUCCUUGUACGCACUACUCGUAUUAUAGACCCCCUAUGUAUGUCCCACUUAGAUGAACUAUUCCUUUUAUUUAUUGUGUCUUAAUGGUUACCCGCCUGUGUAUGGACUAAAUGCAUCGUUUUUAUAUAUAAACUACUUUGUUCUAAGCAAAAUAUCAAACAAACUUUUCGUACAUUAUAAGACAAACUAAAUAGCUAAGUGAUCUACAUGGCGCGACGUGUCGCUGCGCACUAUCCGCUAGUACUACCUAGCAUGUCUGGUCAUCCCCUUUCUUCGUUCAUUGACAUGCGCUUCUUUGUGUACUCCUCGUUUGGAGCUCGAUGGUACUAUAGGUCAAAAAUAUAGACCAUUGUCUUCGCAAUGACACAAACACACUUGAUGGUGGCAUCUUCUUCAAUGAGAAGAUAUUCAUCCGCGUAGUCGCCGGAAACACCAUAUGCAAUCACUCUCACCGUCGUUGAUUUUUUUAAUAUGCACUAAAGCCAAGCAAGCCGGCAACAUUCCUACGUCGAGUGAAAAAACAACAAUUCUGCUCGCAAGCUUCCAUGAUGCACAUGAAUAGAGACCUACACAUUUGAUAUUGCCUACGAAAUAGGAGACCCGAAUAUGGCGCUACCUCGACGAAGUAGUCCUUCAUGAGCACCUUGUCUCUGAGAGCUCGGUUGCAAGGAAUGCAUAGCGGGCCAAUCGCGAAUCCAUAACACUUUUUCUUUGGGCCCUUCUCAAAUUCGUCCACAAGAUGCAACAAUACUUGAUUGUCGACAUUGUUAUCAUAUCUUUUAUGUGUGAAUCAUCCGACAAAGACGACGAGGACGGACUUCGAUCCAUCUCAAAAAUGCACGCCCGUGAAUUUCACCCGAACCUCACCUACAAAAAUAACCGGGAAAUCGCCCCUUUCUUCUCUCCCAACUACUGAAGCAAAACAUGCUGAAAUCCCUUCCUAUGCGGCGUGGGCGACCCCAACCAACUCCGAGGCUCACAAGGCCGUGCGCCAAGCUUUAGGGCGGAUCCAUUGUUAGAGCAUAUUUCUGUGUAUAUGGUUUUGGUAAUUGAUGACACCCCCUAUGGACUAAUGGUUGCAUUGAGUUAUAUUCGAAUGAUUUGUCCAUAGUCACUUAUUGAAGUCCAUCUGUUGGUUUCAAGGAGUUUAUUUGACGACCAAGGUGGUAUUCAAAGUAUUAUCCAAAGAUUGGUCAUAAAGACACAAUGUUGAUCAAGACUAAGCAAAGAGUAAAUCAAGAUGAUCAACACACAAAGUGUACAAUAUGUACCGAGAGGGAUCAAGUGAUCCCAUGGUAUGGUAAGCAUUAUCCAUAACGCUUUUGUGUACUAACCCAUGGUCUUCGUGAGAGUUCUAUGUGGGGUUGGGUGUGUUUCCAUGGGUUUGCAUCAAGAGUUAGAUCUCAUUCAACCUAUGAAGGAAGACAUCAAGUGGUGAUCGUCAUCAAGAUUGCGGUGUGCAAGUUCAAGUGGAGCAUCACGAAGAUAUCAUGCUUGAAGCUUGCCGUCCAUUAUGGUGGCAAUGGAGUUGUGAAGAUGUGCUGAAGAGUGUCUCACCAUAGUGAGUAUGGGGGGCAAUCAACUAGUCUUCAUGAAACCAACAUCAAGAAAGGUGGUCCAUCUUGAGGAAGCCAAGAUCAUCGUCAUCUAGCUCAAGAGGACUAGGUGCAAGGUACAGGUUAGGAUAGAUUGUCGUACUGUCAAGGGGGUCUCUCAAGUGAGUAGCUUGAUCGUAUCGUUCAUUGGAUAGCUCUUGUCGUCUUGAAUCCAACAAGCUUGAGUUUGCUCGAUUCGAAACUCGUAUGCGAAAGUUAUGGCGGUUUCAGUGGCCAGCGGUAGUACCGCCAGUGCCAGUGGUAGUACCGCUCUUGGAACGGUAGUAGUUUUUACUACCGCUCUCUGGCGGUAGUACCGUCCGGUACUAUCGUGCCGUCGAACUUUUGCUCAACCGCAGCCUCACCGGAGGUAGGCACGGAAGUUAUUUUUUACUACCAUGGUUGGUGAACCUACCCUGCGGUAGUACCGCUCCUAGGAGCGGUAGUACCACUCCUAGCAGCGGUAGUACCGCUCUGCUCGGGCUGUGAAUGGGGGUAACGGUUGGAUUAUUUCCCCCACUAUAUAAAGGGGGUCUUCUUCCCCAUUGGAUCUAAUCCAUCCGUUGAGCUCGUGUUCUUCCCCCAUUGUUGUCCUUCUUAGAGCUUGCUAACUCUCAAUCCCUCCAAUAAUUCUUGCUAGUUCUUGAGGGAAAAGAGAGAGGAGAUCUAGAUCCACAUCUUCACCAAUCACUUUCUCCUCUAUGUGAGGGGAACCCCUUGGAUCUUGAUCUUGGAGUUCUUUGUGAGCUCCUUGUUCUUCCUCUCGUAUUUCUCCAUAGCUUUUGUUGUUGUGGAGGGAUUUGAGUGUGAGGGACUUGACCACUUCGUGUGUUCUUUCCAUUACACUAGUUGCAUCGGUUUAGUUCUCCACGGUGAUUUGUGGAAGUGAGAAGUUGAGAAGCUUAUUACCCUUGGGUUCUUGGUACCCCUAGAGAUUGUUCUUCGUGGAUGCUUUGGCAUCUUAGAAGCUUGGUGGUGCCUCGAAGCUCAAUCAUUGUGGUGUAAAGCUCCGAGCAAGCGUCGGGUCUCCAAUUAAGUUGUGGAGAUUGCCCCGAGCAUUUGUGGUCACCUCGAAGCCAUAUGCCAUUGUGGUGAAGCUUCGUGGUGUUGUUGGGAGCCUCCAAUUAAGUUGUAGAGAUUGCCCCAAACUUUUUUGUACGAUUUCGAUGACCGCCCUCAAGGGUCCCUUAGUGGAAUCACAUCAUCUUGCAUUGUGCGAGGUCGUGAGGAGAUUACGGCGGCCUUAGUGGCAUCUUGAAAAGCAUCAUGACUCCACAUCGCUUUAAACGGAGAUUAGCAUCCACAAGGGUGUGAACUUCAGGAUACAUCGUCGUCUUCGCGUGCCUCGGUUAUCUCUUAACCGAACUCUUUACUUAUGCACUUCACUUUUUGAUAGCCAUAUUGUUUCUUGUUAUAUAUCUUGCUAUCACUUAGUUGUUUAUCUUGCUUAGCAUAAGUUGUUGGUGCACAUAGGUGAGCCUAGUUGUUUUAGGUUUUGUGCUUGACAAAUUAAACGUUAGCUUUAUUCCGCAUUUGUUCAAGCUUAAACCGUAAUUAUUUUAAAGCGCCUAUUCACCCCCCCUCUAGGCGACAUCCACGUCCUUUCAUCCAUGGUGCCGGUGGCGGUCGCGAGCCCACCGACAUAAAUGGGCACCCCGCCCUCAAAUUAGGUGGAACAUAUGUGGCACGGUGUAACGGGGGCAGCAAGAACUAUACCUCGCCAAACAGGUCGGCCUGCGGGCAUGCCGGCACGGCACGACCCGUUUAUUUAUUUUUAUUUUUUUAAUAUAUAUAUAUAUAUAUACACAAUAUACAAUCCAAUAGGCCUAAAAAUGAACCAACGAGGCUAAAAAUAUACGGCCCAACGUGCUAAACGGGCCAACACGCCGAUUCAUUUAGUAAUCGGGUCGUGCGCGAGCCUGAAGACGCAGCCCACGGGCUGGUAUGACAUGACCCGAUUACUAAAUGUGCCUCCAUGGGCCGUGCCGGGCGAGGAAGCCAAGCACAGGCCGUGCUGGUGCCGUGUCGGGCCGCUCGUUUGGGCAGGUAUGGCAAGAAGCGACAGGGAGUUGAGACGACGACAAUGACGGGUUUUGAGGGGAAAUGGAUGGAAAGGAAUUCCACGACGAGAAAGGGGAUCCAGCAAAAACAGGUGUUGCUCCUAUAGAUAUGACAAAAGUGAGAUCUCGAAAAAAAUCAGGGUGAACGAAUAUACUUCCUCCGUUUCUAAAUAUAAGACUUUUUAAAGAUAUCAACGGAGCAAAAUGAAUGAAUCUAUACUCUAAAGUAUGUCUAUAUACAUACGUAUAUAGUCUUUUAAUGAAACAUUUAUUUCACCGUAAACUAAUAUCUUUACCUACUAAAUAAUACUAAUAAAGCAAUUAGUGCUUCUAUAGUCCGUCAUUAACAUUGCCCCUAAAGUUGAUGAAAAUUACCCACCAAUGCCAUUAAUAAGUGGAAACAAUUCGUUUUUUCUUAAAUCGCCGUCGCUAGCUUCUGGUUCAUCAACCUUUAUGUCAUUAGACUACACAAGGGCACUAGCCAACCUGUUGGCUACGUCGUAUCUAUCCUGUCCGGGAGACCAGGGUUCAAUCCGAGGUACUCCCCAUUUUUUCUAGCCUUUUCUAAAACCUCAAAUAUUUUACAUAUUAGAGUAUUUAAAAAAAUAUUCAUAUCUUUCAAACCUUAAUUUCAAAUUUAACAUGUUAUUUUUUUCACAAAGGCCAUCUCGCAAAACUGUCGCUUAAUUGUCACCUUAACCCAUUGUCAAUAUCACCUAUAAGUGAUAAAAAAUAUUCAUGAUUUUAAAUAUGUUCAUGAUUUUUAGAAAAUGUUAUGAUUUCUAAACUGUUCGUGAUUUCAUGAAAUUAAGAAUGAUAGUGUAUCUCAGUGAUGCAGUAAAAUAUGGUCAUCUCCAUUGAAAAUUACGAAAAAAAAUUCGUUGCAAUGUACGGGCCUUUUGUUAGUAAGUGUAAGUGCUUUUAUAUUAGUUUACGGAGGGAGUAUUUAGAAAGCGUAGGGAGUACUUAGUAUUUAGAUCGGUAAAUUCACCUUCGUCUUACCCUUCCGGCAAAAACAGGUGUUGCUCUCGUAGCGCUCGCUCUCACCCACCCUUCCCCAACUCGCAUCCAGCGCCGCAACCCCUCGUCUCUCCCCCCCUUCCGAUCUGAGGCGUCGUUGGAGAUCGGCGGCAACCGAAGAGGCGUCCGACGACGGCCGUCGCGGGUGGCACCAGUGCAGUGGAGCAAAUCAACCAGUUGAGAUGGCGACAUUGAGGCCGCUGAGCGUGGAGGAGGUGCUGAGGGUGAACGGCAGCCACCGCUUUGCCGCCGCGCUGGCUGCCGCCUCCCCCUUUGAUUCUCUUGCCAACGCGCUCCUUGCCGCCCGCCGCAUCUGGCUGAACGAGGUAGGUAGCUCUCGAUCUCCUAAUCUCUCUUCCCUGCACCCAUCCUCCUGUCUGAAGACCCCUCACUUCCCAUACUGAUACAUGCCGCCCACGUGCGUGCAAUCGGGAUCGACGUGGAACAAAUCAAGGUGGACGUGACUGGAUGGCUGGAGGCCUUCGCUGCCCACCCACCCAUCGGAAGCACCUCCUCCUCCGUCUCCAAG
Molecule: long non-coding RNA, 8141 nt
Filed under: Hordeum vulgare
Lineage: Eukaryota; Viridiplantae; Streptophyta; Magnoliopsida; Poales; Poaceae
Description: long non-coding RNA (HVUL_LNC010557)
Source: RNAcentral